RNAcentral lists this ribosomal RNA (855 nucleotides) under Triticum aestivum (bread wheat). Its description in RNAcentral is "partial small subunit ribosomal RNA". Lineage: Eukaryota; Viridiplantae; Streptophyta; Magnoliopsida; Poales; Poaceae. The record is from RNAcentral.
AUGUUAACUAUCUCCCAUACCUCUCAUGAGUUUAUGGAAGACUUGAAGGAGGCAGAUUUGUGUGCUGCACUUGUUGUAAAAGGAGAAGAGUACCUGACUGUUGAAAUUCCAGCAAAGGUACGUGGUUUAUUGGCAGAAUUUCAGAACAUACUUGGAGAGCCACAAGGCUUGCCACCGAUGAGAGGAAUUCAACAUAGAAUUGACUUAAUUCCGGGAGCAAGUCUUCCUAAUCUUCCACACUAUCGAAUGAGCCCAAAAGAGCAUGAUAUAUUGAAGGAGAAAGUGGAGGAAUUGCUGCAAAAGGGGCACAUUCGAGAAAGCAUUAGCCCAUGUGCUGUACCAGCCCUGCUCGCGCCAAAGAAAGAUGGAUCUUGGCGCAUGUGUACGGAUAGUAGAGCCAUUAACAAGAUCACCGUAAGGUAUAGAUUCCCUAUUCCCCGUCUGGAUGAUAUGUUGGAUCAGCUUAGUGGAGCAAGAGUGUUCACAAAGCUGGAUUUAAGGAGUGGAUAUCAUCAAAUCCGUAUCAGACCCGGGGAUGAAUGGAAAACAGCCUUCAAGACAAAAGAAGGGUUGUUUGAAUGGCUAGUCAUGCCAUUUGGACUCUCAAAUGCACCAAGUAUCUUCAUGUGCUUAAUGAAUCAAGUCCUUCGACCCUUCUUGUCCCACUUUGUUGUGGUCUAUUUCGAUGACAUCUUGAUCUAUAGCAAGGAUGAGGACGAACACUUUGAUCACAUUCGGAAGGUGCUAGAAGUACUAAGGGAAAAUGAGCUCUACGUCAACUUGAAGAAAUGUGUUUUCCUGCAAACACAGCUUCUUUUCCUAGUAUUCGUCGUAAUAUGUGACGGUGAUUUGUGA